UUCUAUUAAAUGGUUGUUGACGUGCUUUCCCCAAGGGACAAACUUGACAAAACUUCAUCUUGUUUCCCUGUUUAUCCUGAAUUUGUAAUUCUGGUUCAGUUUUCUUCAACACAGCUUUUGAUGGAUGCCCUAAUCUGUCAUGUCACCUAUCCUUUGUAAUCUUUAUCCCAUAGCAAGCUUUAUCAUCUGGAUAGAUGUGAUAGAGGCCUUCUGAGCUACUGCCAGAAAACAAUAUCUCCAUAGUGACCUGGUCCUUGAUAAAAAAAAUUUAUCAUUAAAAAUAAUCAAGCAAUUUAGGUCUCUAGAUAACUUUUGAAUAGACAUAAGGUUCUUCUUUAACCCUGGUACACAUAAAACUCCUUCUAAAUUGUAAUCUUUUCCUUUAAAUUUCAAUGUUACUCUACCUCUAUAUUUAACAGGUAAGUAAUCUCCACUUCCAACUAUUACAUAUUAUGUACCUGGAGCUGUUUCAUAGGUUGUGAAGGCAGUUAGGUCUGGUGUCAUAUGACUGGAUGCUCCUGAAUCAAGGCACCAUGCAUGCUGAAUCAUCCAAUGUAGUGGCUGCUGACAUUGCCAUUUCAGAAGGUGGAAUUUGUUGGUAAUUUUCUGUGUAUGCUGGAAUUGUUGGUUGUUGGAUUGCUGCAUAGGUUGGAUAUGUAUAUUCUGUUGUGUAUGCUGGUGUUGGUGGAGGUAAAUGUGGUUGUAUAUUAGUUGUACUAGUAUUCAGUGCUGAGAAACUAUUGUAAUUUGGGUACUGUUUAGCUAGAUGACCUUUCUUGUGACAUAUCUGACAACUUUGUGAUUGAUCAAUGGAAGAGGUGUUUUGAAUAUUGGUGGUAAUUGAGGUUAUUGUUGUUAUUGUUAUGGUGGUGGUGGUAUCAUGUUAGCUCUUGGGUAUUGGUGAUAAUUUUGUUGUUAUUGAUUAGAGUAAAAUGGUCUGUAAUUAGGGUGUGAAUUGUAUUUAGGUCUAUAGUUGUAAUUUGAUCUGUAGUUAUAGUUUGGUUGAUAAUUUUGAGGUGCUGAAUGGUAAUUUAGAUUGUGGUAGUAAUUGGGAUUGGGAUUAUAGUUAUAAUUGUAAUUUGUGUUAUUCCCUCUAUAGUUAGGUGAAUAACCUCUAUAGUUAGGAUUGUUUCCUCUAUAGUUAGGAUUGUUUCCUCUAUAGUUAGGACUGUGGCCUCUAUAUCCUGUAUUUGCAGCCAUAACCACUGUGACUUUAGAUUGGCUGUCCUCCUCUAUUCUUUUUACCAACAAUUCUUCACCAAGCAACAUAUCUGCUAAUUCAUCAAAUGUAGGCACUUGUGCUUUAUUUCUUACUGUUGUCAGUAAGCAUCUAUACUUAAACCUCAAGCCACCUAAUAUGUAAUCCCUCAAGCACUUAUUACUUAAAGUUUCUCCUGUAGCAUCUAGGGAUUCGACCAAUCCCUUUACCCUCACAAUGUAUUCUUGCAUUGUCUCUGUGGUGACUUUCUUCAAUGUCCUUAACUGUUCUUUUAUCACUGUUACUUGAGUGUUACUAGUUGGUGAUAGUAAUUUUUCCAAACUUGUCCACCCAUCAUAUGCAAACUUACAUUUUUGAAGCAUUAAUUGGUAUUGAUUAUUUACUGUUGCCUUAAUCCAACCCAGAACUAGAUCAUCAUUAGCUACCCAUUCCUCAUAUGCAGGAUUAAUCAUAUCAUUUUCUCCUCUAGGAGCUGGGCAAGAACUAGUUCCAUUCACAUAUUUCAUAAACUUGUGUGCUCUCAAUGCACAUUCAAAUUGAUUUCUUCAUGUUAAAUAAUUUCCUCUUUCUAAUCUACGAGGAACCGUACUGAAAAUGUUGUAAGAAACAUGUCCCAUGUAUGUUUGCUGGGGAGUAGUUAUUGAUGUAGAUGUAGCCAUUUUACCUUUAAGAUAAUUGAGUAAAAAUAAUGUUUAGUAAACCUAAUGAGAAUCCCAUAACUAAAUCAACCUAGACUGAUACCAUGUGAAAAAUUGAAUUUAUAAGGUAUUUAUGUAAUUCAGUUCAGACUAAGGAUGAAUGAAAACAACUAAUUCAGUUAUCUGAAUUUUAUUACAGAAUUCUAAUUAUUCUUGGGGGAAAUCGAAUUGAAUUCAGUAAAAUUGAAUUUCACUAUAGAAUUUUAUGCACAGGAAGAUAGACAAAAUAGAAUAGAAGUCUUCUAGGGAGUUUCAAAUCUAUUCAGAUUUCAAUGAAAUCCAAGAAUAUUCUGCAUUGGGUAAAAUUCAGCAAUAUUCUGACUUAAGAUGAACGAUUGAAUUUAUAAGAAGAAAGAACUGAAUUGAAAUGUGUAAUUGAAUUAUAAGAAAGAAAGUACGGGACAGGACAGGACAUGACGGAAUUAAAAUAAAUGGAAUUGAACAAUUGAAUUAAGUGAGAACUAAUAGAAGUGAAAUGAGUAAUUGAAUUAAAAGAUAGAAAGGAAAACAUGACAGAAUUAAAAUGAAUGGAAUUGAACAAUUGAGUUAAAUGAAAGAAAGAGAUUUAGAACAACAAAUUUACUAUUUUAACAGAGUCAAGAAUCAAACAAUAGAACAAUUAGUUUGGUAUUACUAAAUUGAUAUUUGAUAAACAAAGAAAAUACAGAAAAAAAAUUGUGAGGAAAGAAAAACUUACAAUGGAAUAACAAUACAGAAAAACAGAUGACCGAAACAGGUUAGAACCAUGGAAGAUAGAUAACAUAACAUAAACCCCAAAAUAUAGACGACCGAAAGAGGUUAGAAAGCUUACCUAUGACCGUCUUCGAACACUGCUGAACAACAGGAUAUAGAAACAACUACGGAUACUAGAAACACUUCAAAAAUACAAUAGGUAGAAUAGUAGAAAAGAUACGAUUAAGAUUAAGAAAAGUAAUGGGACUGAGAAGUAGAAAACAAAGCGAAGGAGGAGUUGAGAAUGAGAAGUGGGUUAGAAUGAAGGAGGAAGACGGAUGGAGAUGAUUGAAAUAAUC
Molecule: long non-coding RNA, 2948 nt
Filed under: Zostera marina
Lineage: Eukaryota; Viridiplantae; Streptophyta; Magnoliopsida; Alismatales; Zosteraceae
Description: long non-coding RNA (ZMAR_LNC002268)
Source: RNAcentral